Molecule: ribosomal RNA, 1239 nt
Filed under: Salmonella enterica subsp. enterica
Lineage: Bacteria; Pseudomonadati; Pseudomonadota; Gammaproteobacteria; Enterobacterales; Enterobacteriaceae
Description: partial 23S ribosomal RNA
Rfam family: Bacterial large subunit ribosomal RNA
Source: RNAcentral
GGGUUGUGAGGUUAAGCGACCAAGCGUACACGGUGGAUGCCCUGGCAGUCAGAGGCGAUGAAGGACGUGCUAAUCUGCGAAAAGCGCCGGUAAGGUGAUAUGAACCGUUAUAACCGGCGAUGUCCGAAUGGGGAAACCCAGUGUGACUCGUCACACUAUCAUUAACUGAAUCCAUAGGUUAAUGAGGCGAACCGGGGGAACUGAAACAUCUAAGUACCCCGAGGAAAAGAAAUCAACCGAGAUUCCCCCAGUAGCGGCGAGCGAACGGGGAGGAGCCCAGAGCCUGAAUCAGUAUGUGUGUUAGUGGAAGCGUCUGGAAAGGCGCGCGAUACAGGGUGACAGCCCCGUACACAAAAGCGCAUGUGCUGUGAGCUCGAUGAGUAGGGCGGGACACGUGGUAUCCUGUCUGAAUAUGGGGGGACCAUCCUCCAAGGCUAAAUACUCCUGACUGACCGAUAGUGAACCAGUACCGUGAGGGAAAGGCGAAAAGAACCCCGGCGAGGGGAGUGAAACAGAACCUGAAACCGUGUACGUACAAGCAGUGGGAGCAUGAGUUUACUCAUGUGACUGCGUACCUUUUGUAUAAUGGGUCAGCGACUUAUAUUCUGUAGCAAGGUUAACCGUAUAGGGGAGCCGCAGGGAAACCGAGUCUUAAUUGGGCGUUAAGUUGCAGGGUAUAGACCCGAAACCCGGUGAUCUAGCCAUGGGCAGGUUGAAGGUUGGGUAACACUAACUGGAGGACCGAACCGACUAAUGUUGAAAAAUUAGCGGAUGACCUGUGGCUGGGGGUGAAAGGCCAAUCAAACCGGGAGAUAGCUGGUUCUCCCCGAAAGCUAUUUAGGUAGCGCCUCGUGAAUUCAUCUCCGGGGGUAGAGCACUGUUUCGGCCAGGGGGCCAUCCCGGCUUACCAACCCGAUGCAAACUGCGAAUACCGGAGAAUGUUAUCACGGGAGACACACGGCGGGUGCUAACGUCCGUCGUGAAGAGGGAAACAACCCAGACCGCCAGCUAAGGUCCCAAAGUCAUGGUUAAGUGGGAAACGAUGUGGGAAGGCCCAGACAGCCAGGAUGUUGGCUUAGAAGCAGCCAUCAUUUAAAGAAAGCGUAAUAGCUCACUGGUCGAGUCGGCCUGCGCGGAAGAUGUAACGGGGCUAAACCAUGCACCGAAGCUGCGGCAGCGACACUGUGUGUCGUUGGGUAGGGGAGCGUUCUGUAAGCCUGCGAAGGUGGCCUGUGAGGG